Ruditapes philippinarum (Manila clam) is the source of this 3881-nucleotide long non-coding RNA. RefSeq lists it as uncharacterized. The transcript is spliced from 4 exons. Lineage: Eukaryota; Metazoa; Mollusca; Bivalvia; Venerida; Veneridae. The record is from RefSeq and is a predicted model, not a curated record.
CCUUUACGGGUCAUGCGCGCGCCUAUAUAACCGGCGUUUUGCGGCGAAAACAGCUGAUCGCAAUCCAACAGCUGAUCGGGAAAUGUUUUAAAGUGACUAAAAACUUUUUAAAAUUCUUAAAACUUUUUUUCAUAACUAAUCAUCAAAAGAAACUAAGACUAAAAAUGGAACUUACAAAAACACUAGUAUGUUGCACAUUGGUGCUGAUGAUUUUGACAGAGGUGGUGAUAUGUAGACCGACACACUCCGGUAAAGAAUCGGAACUUGAGGCAUUAGUUAAAGACAUUGACCAGCGGUUAAUCAGAAGUGAACACAAAAGUUCCCGGCGGAGGCGCCGGCAUGUUGCCACACAGCGAUUGGCUAUACUGGAACAUUGCCUGAGAAACCCAUACACUUGCCGAGCGGAAGUAGAGCGCAUGCGAAGGCUUCAGAGGAGGAAUAGAGAUUUCCGUGUGAUAGUGAUCGAAAAAUAACAUUAACAUUGGAGCCGUGGCAACGAAAUGGUAAUUCCGAGGACAGUAAUCGAUUCGAGGGAGAAUUUCACCUGAAGUGACGUUUUUGUGUUCCUUUACACGAAGUGAUGAUCUCAUAAGCUAACGAAAUCAACCGCAUUUAAACUUUACUCAUUGGUGAACUACUUUUUGGUGAACUACUUUUUCUAUUGAUAUUCAUGCGUGUGUAACUUUGUUAAAAAUGAGACAAUAGCUUUAAUACCCACAGUAAUGUGACUUAUAAAUAAAUAUUUAAUAAAAAACUAACAAAAAACAAUAUUUGGAAAUGCAUGGAGUUCUUCGCAAGUUCCUGUAGAAGAUAAGAAGAGCAAAAAACUACAAUCAAAAUAAGUGAAUAUUGAAACAUCGGAACUGUAAAGAGAAGGUUCUAUUGUGUACAAAAUAUGACAGGUGAAGAAGGGUUUGCAUGAUAAUUGUACAAAAAAUUAACAGUUGUCAACAGUUAUUCAAGCACCUCCUUUAUUUAAAAAUAACAGUAACAAUAUGAGUAUUUUAGCAUGAGAUCAACAUGAAUUUGGUUCAUUGGUCAAUGGCCAUUCUAAUCAAUCCAAUGUAGAAAUUUAAAACUUUUAAACCAAUGUCUUCUUUAUAUUGUAGGACUUCUUUUGUUUUUACUUUUAUUUGAGACAACACUCAUGCAAUCCUUUUUUAUGACCCAGAGCACCAUCCAUCAACAUUUCGUGCAAAUUCGGCAAACUUCGGAACUUUCGAUAUCCUACCUCGAAGAUGAAACGAGCGCUCACAUGUUACUUUUAAAUCGCGGAAAGUGGCGACAAAUGCCCUAAUAUGCAAAAAAGCUGCCGGAAAGUGGCGAUAUAUUCCGAAUUUGUACGAACUAAUGAUGGGUAAGCUGAAGAAAUGAGAGCUAUCGGAGAAUUGUGAUAGCCAUGCAGGAACUUAAAACUAGCGUUACUACAAAUGUGUCACGUAAUAAUUUCCGUUUCCACGACAAUGUCUAUUUCUUUCGUGAGUUGUCAUGGUUACAAAGUUAUGUAUGUGACAGACAUGUGUGAUAUACAUGUGGCAUCUUGAGAUCAUAGGGCUUUGCUUAUAAGGGUCUCGGUUGUUUUUUUAUUAAUAAGAUAUUCAAAACAGAAAUCGUAACGUAUGUUCCAUUAUUUAUAAUUUAUUAUGCUGUACAAUGAACCCAGAGUUGGAGAUAAACUUAAUGUAUCUUAGCUUUUUACAAAAAAAUACUGAGACCCCUAUUAACAGCUUUAUAUUUAUGUUAAAUUUUGUGUUUAUAUGUGUUCUCUGAUACUUCAUAUAUGCAGGUUUUGACACACAAAGCUAUAUACAAUAUUUAGCAUCAAGCAGUUAGCUGCGUAUGGUUUAGAUGAUCGUAUAUAUGCGUAUUUUCUAGCACGACUGACCUAUUAUUCAAAAGGGUAUUCUUCACUACAAAUGAUUUCCGAAAUAAACAUACUGCAUAUGUGAAGUUUUAGUUUCCAUGCCUUUAUAUGUAUUUUUGUAUGUACUGUAAAUUUCGUAUAACAUCUUCAUACACAACAUUAUGGCAUAAAAUAAAAGAUGUUCAGUUAAUUGUAAAGUAUGUUCGAGUGUGUGUGUGUCUUGUGAUGUUGUGAUGUAUUUAUGUUUUAGAUGCCGAUUUGCAGUAACGCGAACCCGUUUUUUUAAUUUGUUUAAUGUUUUGUACGUUAUGAUUUUUAAGAUGAAAAUCCCUUUAUUGUUUAACAAAACAAAAUCUGCGAAUUCCAUUAUCGUUAACGUAUUUUGUGUGUGUGUAACUUUUGUUGGUUUUGUUUGUUUGUUUGUUGUUGUUUUGUUUUCGUUUUUUUGGUUUACUCUGUGUUUUUUAUUUGUUCGUUUUUUUUCCAUAUCGUAAUUUUACCGAUAUAUUUUCAGUAACGAUUGUUACUCUAGAUAUGCGUUACAUACUUUACUAUAUGUUUUACGUUACGUUGUUUUGUGUAUAGGUAACUCCCCAGUGUCUGUGUAUGUACACCGGUCUGUGUUUGUUUCAGGGCGUUAGUUUAUCGUUUUUGUUGUAUGUUUAAAAAAUUGUUAUAUCUAUAGGGCAGUGUCGAAAGAAAAGGAAAUGAAAGCACUUAAGUGUACCAAAUAUAUAGAUAAAGAAUGUGUGUUCAUAUGUUUUUAACUAGUGAAUUUGAUGAUUACAUGUAUAAAGUUAUGGAAUAUUUAUGUUAUUGAGAUCACUUUUACGGGAGGAAAAUAAAUGUUUAAAAGUGAGAUUGAUAUACCAAAUACUGAAUGAUAAGUUCAUGUAUGGAAUGUUCACGUUAAAUGUAUGAAAUGUACGAGUAAAUAUACGUAAGUCUAUUUAUAAGUCUAUGUACUUAAUACAGAGAGGACAAAUCGUCCAAUGUGUCUUAAGUUUUUUUCAAUUUAAAAAAUAGUUUAUGUAAAAUGUUAAUAACCUAAUCCGAUUUAACAUGGUGUUUUUCAGUAUAUGUAGAGUAAGUAAUGUACAUGUAUAAAAAAAUUCAUCCAACUUGAAUUUUUGGUCUAUUUUCUAUUAUUUUAUGAAGCAGCUUAAAAAGAUAUGAACUUUUUGCACUCAUUUUACUUGUCGAGCGUAUGUAAGAAAAAACUUUACUAAAAACUUGACACGAAAUAGGUCAUAAUAUUAGCGUAUAAAGUUUAAAGAUUGACCAUUUUUUAUCGAUUCAUUCAGUCAUUUUGUCUGAAAUUGAGAUCGAUUAUGUUUUAUACCUUGCCAUAAUCCCUUCUUUAUUCCAUUGUAUGAUUUAAGUACGAGAUUAUAACAUUUGUAAAUUCAUCACAUUAACUGCAUUCACUAUUUUUAAAAUCGGUGCGCAUGCGUGUCUAAAUGCUUUGCCGAAUGAGUCUGUUUUUAGUAAAAUGUUUUUAUCAAUGUUUAAGAUUUUUUUUAUUUAGGUACUGAUUGAAACAAUGGUUGAUAUCAGAAAAAGCCAUUUAUGUACUUUUGUCCCUGGUUACGAAAAUUAAAGUUUCGUAGGUCUUUGAAUUAAGUAAGAAAUUAUGUCCAUUAUUGUAUUCCGUAUUUUUAUAUCAAUGGAAUACAUGCUAUAUUAUGGUAAUGUUCUUGAUAAUGAUAAGAAAAAAAUAAUAUUAUAUUACAUGCGAUUCUUAUCACGAGCUAUGUUUAUCAUGGUGUUCCAUAUUGUAUUCCGUAAUUUUGGUAUGAUUUUUUUUAUAUAUAUCUUAUUUGUUUUGUUUUGUUCAGAUAUGACUUAGUUUCGUUUUAGUGAAAUAUAUAAUGUGCAUUAUUAUGUAAAAUGCUAGGAUUUUCAAAUUAAAUGGCCAGAUUUGUAUUUACACGAUCCUGUCCUUCUAUGAAGGCAGAUAAAUAUUGUUUAAGAAAAUGAACUAUAUUUUGAAUAAAAUCGUUAAAAUAAAUGAUGA